CACGUAGGGUGCGAGCGUUGUCCGGAAUCAUUGGGCGUAAAGAGCGUGUAGGCGGCCCGAUAAGUCCGCUGUGAAAGUCGAGGGCUCAACCCUCGAAUGCCGGCGGAUACUGUCGGGCUAGAGUCCGGAAGAGGCGAGUGGAAUUCCUGGUGUAGCGGUGAAAUGCGCAGAUAUCAGGAGGAACACCAACGGCGAAGGCAGCUCGCUGGGACGGUACUGACGCUGAGACGCGAAAGCGUGGGGAGCAAACAGG
RNAcentral lists this ribosomal RNA (253 nucleotides) under uncultured bacterium. Its description in RNAcentral is "partial 16S ribosomal RNA". It matches the Rfam family "Bacterial small subunit ribosomal RNA", at positions 524 to 776 of the family's 1533-position model. The record is from RNAcentral.